Molecule: long non-coding RNA, 794 nt
Filed under: Felis catus (domestic cat)
Lineage: Eukaryota; Metazoa; Chordata; Mammalia; Carnivora; Felidae
Description: lncRNA (ENSFCAG00000048648.1)
Source: RNAcentral
GUCACACCUAGUGUUCUUGGAAGAUUUCUCCCACUGAAAAAAUUGCAUCGUUCCCCACAUGGACUAACUGUGCCAGAAUAAGGUCAAUUUCCCAAGGGGAGGAAAGCAAAGGGAAAGGCAGUAAGUAUGUGUCCAGCCGGUCUCCUGGAGAGCACAUGACAGAAACCCACCUGAAACGAGAUUAGGAGAGAGGCGAAGAGGACUAACCUGCUCGUGUAACCCAAACUGCAAGGAGAACAGACGCAGAGUGGCUGGAACAAACAGAGCUCUCCAGCUCUUUUUUCUGCUUCUCUCCAGAAGUCAGUUCCAUUCUGGUCCACAGCACCCUAGUUCCUUCCACAAGGCUGCUGGAACAACGGCUGCUACUGGACCUUGGCCCCAAAUGUUUCCAGCUUCAGGAAUAGGAAACAUCCAUGUGAUGCAAUUUUUAGGAGUCUGGUUCUCCCUGUGCAAGUCCAAUGCUUUUGGUUUUUAUGAUUUGGGCUCACUAAUUCCUACCUGUGAGAAGCUCCUCCUGGGGUUCACCAAGGGUCCAUGAAGGACUGAGUGAUGUGGAUUCUUGAGACAAAAAAUUUUGGUUAUUUGUCUUGGCUAUAUUUUUUAGUUGUUCCCUAAACUCAGGGUUGUUUUACCUUAGUUUAUCCCAUUCAUUUAUUCACCCAUCCAUUCAUUCUUCCAAAAAAUUUCAAGUGCCUCUCAUAUGUGAGGCAUUGAGCUAGGGCUAUCAUGGAGACUGAACCAAUGAGGACCCUGCCUUCAUGGAGGUCACGUUGUGAGAAGGAAAGGAGACCUUA